CAAUAGCGUAUAUUUAAGUUGUUGCAGUUAAAAAGCUCGUAGUUGGAUUUCUGCUGAUCGCUGUCGGUCUGCCGUCAGGUGUGUACUGGCAGUGUUUGGCAUCUAUUCGAGAUUGGGUGUCCACUUGAUUGUGUGCACUCGAUGUCGGAGCUAAUACUUUGAGAAAAUUAGAGUGUUCCACGCAGGCGCGUGCCUUGAAUACUGCAGCAUGGGAUAUUGGAAGGCCGAUUGAGCUUUCUUGUUGGUUCUCGGUUUGAUCGGAAUGAUUAAUAGGGAUAGUUGGGGGCAUUCGUAUUCAACUGUCAGAGGUGAAAUUCUUGGAUUUGUUGAAAACGGACUACUGCGAAAGCAUCUGCCAUGGAUGUUCUCAUUGA
RNAcentral lists this ribosomal RNA (374 nucleotides) under uncultured eukaryote. RNAcentral describes it as "partial 18S ribosomal RNA". It matches the Rfam family "Eukaryotic small subunit ribosomal RNA", at positions 592 to 976 of the family's 1831-position model. The record is from RNAcentral.